This 588-nucleotide long non-coding RNA is filed under the name Homo sapiens (human). RNAcentral's name for it is "non-protein coding lnc-FGD6-2:4". Lineage: Eukaryota; Metazoa; Chordata; Mammalia; Primates; Hominidae. The record is from RNAcentral.
GAUCCCACAUCCCGUCGGCUUUCUUCAACCUCUCUUCCCGGAGCGCCCCCCAAUCCACGAGUGGCAGCCGCGGGACUGUCGCGUCGGCGCCCGACGCCGGAGUCAGCAGGGCGCAAAAGCGCCGGUAGAUCAUGGCAACCAUAGAAGAAAUUGCACAUCAAAUUAUUGAACAACAGAUGGGAGAGGUAUGUCUAGUUUACGGUUGAUGCACUGGCCCACCAAACUUUUCUAAUUCCUACUAAAUGCAUAUACCAGGUUCUGGAGUUCCAGAAAUAAAAGAUAUUCCCUAACUUAAGAUAGCUUUUCAAGCUACUGAGAGAUAGUUGAAUAAUCAGACAAUUCAUAGUAGAAUGUGGUAAGUUCUGUGACAGGUCAUUGUAUCAGGUGCAAUGGGAGCACAGAAGAAAAUUGAAAGGAAUGAAGGGAAGGAAGGAAGGAAAGAAAUUAAAGAGCUGUAGAGUGAGUAGGAAUGCUUUUGAGGGAAUUCUUUUUAGAGGGUACAAUCUGAGCCUAGUUUUGGUGGGAUCAGUAGGAGUUCAGCAUCAAUACUGACAUCUUCAUUUUUUUAAAUGGUUGUGUCCUAUUACU